GAUGAACGCUGGCGGCGUGCCUAUUACAUGCAAGUCGAGCGAACAGACGAGGAGCUUGCUCCUCUGACGUUAGCGGCGGACGGGUGUGUAACACGUGGAUAACCUACCUAUAAGACUGGGAUAACUUCGGGAAACCGGAGCUAAUACCGGAUAAUAUAUUGAACCGCAUGGUUCAAUAGUGAAAGACGGUUUUGCUGUCACUUAUAGAUGGAUCCGCGUCGCAUUAGCUAGUUGGUAAGGUAACGGCUUACCAAGGCAACGAUGCGUAGCCGACCUGAGAGGCUGAUGAGCCCCACUGGAGCUGAGACGCGGUCCAUACUCCUACUGGAGGCAGCAGUAGGGAAUCUUCCACAAUGGGCGAAAGCCUGACGGAGCAACGCCGCGUGAGUGAUGAAGGUCUUCGGAUCGUAAAACUCUGUUAUUAGGGAAGAACAAAUGUGUAAGUAACUAUGCACGUCGUGACGGUACCGAAUCAGAAAGCCACGGCUAACUUCGUG
Molecule: ribosomal RNA, 497 nt
Filed under: uncultured bacterium
Lineage: Bacteria
Description: partial 16S ribosomal RNA
Rfam family: Bacterial small subunit ribosomal RNA
Source: RNAcentral